RNAcentral lists this ribosomal RNA (413 nucleotides) under uncultured Limnohabitans sp. RNAcentral describes it as "bacterial SSU rRNA". It matches the Rfam family "Bacterial small subunit ribosomal RNA", at positions 1 to 420 of the family's 1533-position model. Lineage: Bacteria; Pseudomonadati; Pseudomonadota; Betaproteobacteria; Burkholderiales; Comamonadaceae. The record is from RNAcentral.
GAUCGAGUUUGAUCCUGGCUCAGAUUGAACGCUGGCGGAAUGCUUUACACAUGCAAGUCGAACGGUAGAGGGGGCAACCCCUUGAGAGUGGCGAACGGGUGAGUAAUGUAUCGGAACGUGCCCAGUCGUGGGGGAUAACGUAGUGAAAAUUACGCUAAUACCGCAUACGAUCUAUGGGUGAAAGCGGGGGACUCGCAAGAGCCUCGCGCGAUUGGAGCGGCCGAUGGCAGAUUAGGUAGUUGGUGGGGUAAAGGCCCACCAAGCCUGCGAUCUGUAGCUGGUCUGAGAGGACGACCAGCCACACUGGAACUGAGACACGGUCCAGACUCCGUACGGGAGGCAGCAGUGGGGAAUUUUGGACAAUGGGCGAAAGCCUGAUCCAGCAAUGCCCGCGUGCAGGAUGAACGGCCUUC